Molecule: ribosomal RNA, 484 nt
Filed under: uncultured bacterium
Lineage: Bacteria
Description: partial 16S ribosomal RNA
Rfam family: Bacterial small subunit ribosomal RNA
Source: RNAcentral
AUUGAACGCUGGCGGCAGGCCUAACACAUGCAAGUCGAGCGGAUGAAGGGAGCUUGCUCCUGGAUUCAGCGGCGGACGGGUGAGUAAUGCCUAGGAAUCUGCCUGGUAGUGGGGGAUAACGUCCGGAAACGGGCGCUAAUACCGCAUACGUCCUGAGGGAGAAAGUGGGGGAUCUUCGGACCUCACGCUAUCAGAUGAGCCUAGGUCGGAUUAGCUAGUUGGUGGGGUAAAGGCCUACCAAGGCGACGAUCCGUAACUGGUCUUAGAGGAUGAUCAGUCACACUGGAACUGAGACACGGUCCAGACUCCUACGGGAGGCAGCAGUGGGGAAUAUUGGACAAUGGGCGAAAGCCUGAUCCAGCCAUGCCGCGUGUGUGAAGAAGGUCUUCGGAUUGUAAAGCACUUUAAGUUGGGAGGAAGGGCAGUAAGUUAAUACCUUGCUGUUCUGACGUUACCAACAGAAUAAGCACCGGCUAACUUCGUG